RNAcentral lists this unclassified non-coding RNA (366 nucleotides) under Hevea brasiliensis (rubber tree). Lineage: Eukaryota; Viridiplantae; Streptophyta; Magnoliopsida; Malpighiales; Euphorbiaceae. The record is from RNAcentral.
CAUGUCUCUACUAGAGUAAUGGGUACCUUUGGUUAUGCUGCUCCCGAGUAUAUGGCCACAGGUCAUAUAACCACUAGAAGUGACGUAUAUAGUUUCGGGGUUGUUCUUCUAGAAAUGCUGACAGGUCGUCGAGUGAUGGACAAAAACCGACCCCACGGGGAACAUAAUCUGAUUGAAUGGGCUAAACCUUUCCUUACUAGUAAACGUAAAGUCCUCCAUAUUAUGGAUCACCGUAUAGAAGGUCAGUACUCAGUGGAAGGAGCACUGAGAGCAGCACUUCUUGCAGUCAAAUGCCUGGCAUUAGAACCCAAAUUCAGGCCUAAAAUGCCCGAGGUCGUAAAGGCAUUGGAGCAACUUCAGAACUUG